UUAAGCGACUAAGCGUACACGGUGGAUGCCCUGGCAGUCAGAGGCGAUGAAGGACGUGCUAAUCUGCGAAAAGCGUCGGUAAGGUGAUAUGAACCGUUAUAACCGGCGAUGUCCGAAUGGGGAAACCCAGUGCAAUUCGUUGCACUAUCGUUAACUGAAUACAUAGGUUAACGAGGCGAACCGGGGGAACUGAAACAUCUAAGUACCCCGAGGAAAAGAAAUCAACCGAGAUUCCCCCAGUAGCGGCGAGCGAACGGGGAGCAGCCCAGAGUCUGAAUCAGCUUGUGUGUUAGUGGAACGGUCUGGAAAGUCCGACGGUACAGGGUGAUAGUCCCGUACACCAAAAUGCACAGGCUGUGAACUCGAAGAGUAGGGCGGGACACGUGGUAUCCUGUCUGAAUAUGGGGGGACCAUCCUCCAAGGCUAAAUACUCCUGACUGACCGAUAGUGAACCAGUACCGUGAGGGAAAGGCGAAAAGAACCCCGGCGAGGGGAGUGAAAAAGAACCUGAAACCGUGUACGUACAAGCAGUGGGAGCACCUUCGGGUGUGACUGCGUACCUUUUGUAUAAUGGGUCAGCGACUUAUAUUCUGUAGCAAGGUUAACCGUAUAGGGGAGCCGCAGGGAAACCGAGUCUUAACUGGGCGUUAAGUUGCAGGGUAUAGACCCGAAACCCGGUGAUCUAGCCAUGGGCAGGUUGAAGGUUGGGUAACACUAACUGGAGGACCGAACCGACUAAUGUUGAAAAAUUAGCGGAUGACUUGUGGCUGGGGGUGAAAGGCCAAUCAAACCGGGAGAUAGCUGGUUCUCCCCGAAAGCUAUUUAGGUAGCGCCUCGUGAACUCAUCUUCGGGGGUAGAGCACUGUUUCGGCUAGGGGGUCAUCCCGACUUACCAACCCGAUGCAAACUACGAAUACCGAAGAAUGUUAUCACGGGAGACACACGGCGGGUGCUAACGUCCGUCGUGAAGAGGGAAACAACCCAGACCGCCAGCUAAGGUCCCAAAGUCAUGGUUAAGUGGGAAACGAUGUGGGAAGGCACAGACAGCCAGGAUGUUGGCUUAGAAGCAGCCAUCAUUUAAAGAAAGCGUAAUAGCUCACUGGUCGAGUCGGCCUGCGCGGAAGAUGUAACGGGGCUAAACCAUGCACCGAAGCUGCGGCAGCGACACUAUGUGUUGUUGGGUAGGGGAGCGUUCUGUAAGCCUGCGAAGGUGNNNNNNNNNNNNNNNNNNNNNNNNNNNNNNUGCUGGAGGUAUCAGAAGUGCGAAUGCUGACAUAAGUAACGAUAAAGCGGGUGAAAAGCCCGCUCGCCGGAAGACCAAGGGUUCCUGUCCAACGUUAAUCGGGGCAGGGUGAGUCGACCCCUAAGGCGAGGCCGAAAGGCGUAGUCGAUGGGAAACAGGUUAAUAUUCCUGUACUUGGUGUUACUGCGAAGGGGGGACGGAGAAGGCUAUGUUAGCCGGGCGACGGUUGUCCCGGUUUAAGCAUGUAGGCUGGUUAUCCAGGCAAAUCCGGAUAAUCAAGGCUGAGGUGUGAUGACGAGGCACUACGGUGCUGAAGUAACAAAUGCCCUGCUUCCAGGAAAAGCCUCUAAGCAUCAGGUAACAUCAAAUCGUACCCCAAACCGACACAGGUGGUCAGGUAGAGAAUACCAAGGCGCUUGAGAGAACUCGGGUGAAGGAACUAGGCAAAAUGGUGCCGUAACUUCGGGAGAAGGCACGCUGGUGUGUAGGUGAAGCCCCUGCGGGUGGAGCUGAGACCAGUCGAAGAUACCAGCUGGCUGCAACUGUUUAUUAAAAACACAGCACUGUGCAAACACGAAAGUGGACGUAUACGGUGUGACGCCUGCCCGGUGCCGGAAGGUUAAUUGAUGGGGUUAUCCGUAAGGAGAAGCUCUUGAUCGAAGCCCCGGUAAACGGCGGCCGUAACUAUAACGGUCCUAAGGUAGCGAAAUUCCUUGUCGGGUAAGUUCCGACCUGCACGAAUGGCGUAAUGAUGGCCAGGCUGUCUCCACCCGAGACUCAGUGAAAUUGAACUCGCUGUGAAGAUGCAGUGUACCCGCGGCAAGACGGAAAGACCCCGUGAACCUUUACUAUAGCUUGACACUGAACAUUGAGCCUUGAUGUGUAGGAUAGGUGGGAGGCUUUGAAGCGUGGACGCCAGUCUGCGUGGAGCCAACCUUGAAAUACCACCCUUUAAUGUUUGAUGUUCUAACGUUGGCCCCUGACCGGGGUUGCGGACAGUGUCUGGUGGGUAGUUUGACUGGGGCGGUCUCCUCCCAAAGCGUAACGGAGGAGCACGAAGGUUAGCUAAUCCUGGUCGGACAUCAGGAGGUUAGUGCAAUGGCAUAAGCUAGCUUGACUGCGAGCGUGACGGCGCGAGCAGGUGCGAAAGCAGGUCAUAGUGAUCCGGUGGUUCUGAAUGGAAGGGCCAUCGCUCAACGGAUAAAAGGUACUCCGGGGAUAACAGGCUGAUACCGCCCAAGAGUUCAUAUCGACGGCGGUGUUUGGCACCUCGAUGUCGGCUCAUCACAUCCUGGGGCUGAAGUAGGUCCCAAGGGUAUGGCUGUUCGCCAUUUAAAGUGGUACGCGAGCUGGGUUUAGAACGUCGUGAGACAGUUCGGUCCCUAUCUGCCGUGGGCGCUGGAGAAUUGAGGGGGGCUGCUCCUAGUACGAGAGGACCGGAGUGGACGCAUCACUGGUGUUCGGGUUGUCAUGCCAAUGGCACUGCCCGGUAGCUAAAUGCGGAAGAGAUAAGUGCUGAAAGCAUCUAAGCACGAAACUUGCCCCGAGAUGAGUUCUCCCUGAGACUUUAAGUCUCCUGAAGGAACGUUGAAGACGACGACGUUGAUAGGCCGGGUGUGUAAGCGCAGCGAUGCGUUGAGCUAACCGGUACUAAUGAACCGUGAGGCUUAACCUU
RNAcentral lists this ribosomal RNA (2918 nucleotides) under Klebsiella pneumoniae. Its description in RNAcentral is "bacterial LSU rRNA". It matches the Rfam family "Bacterial large subunit ribosomal RNA". Lineage: Bacteria; Pseudomonadati; Pseudomonadota; Gammaproteobacteria; Enterobacterales; Enterobacteriaceae. The record is from RNAcentral.